Molecule: long non-coding RNA, 467 nt
Filed under: Carica papaya (papaya)
Lineage: Eukaryota; Viridiplantae; Streptophyta; Magnoliopsida; Brassicales; Caricaceae
Description: long non-coding RNA (CPAP_LNC010152)
Source: RNAcentral
GAAAAUUUCUUCCCUGUUUAUGUUUGAGAGAAUAAGGAGGAGGAAUUUUAAGACCUAUGCUAGGAAAAUUUAAUGAUUACCCAGUAUACAGCGUGAUUUGUCCAGUUAUUCAGGUUUGCUCCCCUGAGGGUCGUAAGGAUAAGAGGAUUUUGAUGGGCAUCGUUCCAAUAUCUACGACCAGUUGCAAUGCUAAGACCCAGCUCAUAUGUCGAGGUGCUGGAACAUGUCCAAUUGGCCGAAGAUCUUAUCUCAACCCAGCACCAAUGCAUUGUCUGAGUUCGUACCUAGCAAUAGUAACACCAACCCCAACAACCCAGAAAGAGACUGCCUGACCCAGUUAGUAGCCAUCCUAACAAGUGAUCCCGAGUUGCCCCUCCUCCUGUUUUGCCUCCACCUACAAGACACCUUAUCUAACCUACCCAACCAUGUUAGCAUUGCGGAUGUUUGCUUGGUGAUCAACCCUGUCG